RNAcentral lists this ribosomal RNA (1017 nucleotides) under Psychrobacter submarinus. Its description in RNAcentral is "bacterial SSU rRNA". It matches the Rfam family "Bacterial small subunit ribosomal RNA", at positions 33 to 1047 of the family's 1533-position model. Lineage: Bacteria; Pseudomonadati; Pseudomonadota; Gammaproteobacteria; Moraxellales; Moraxellaceae. The record is from RNAcentral.
ACGCAGGCGGCAGCUACACAUGCAGUCGAGCGGAACGAUACCAGCUUGCUGGUAGGCGUCGAGCGGCGGACGGGUGAGUAACACUUAGGAAUCUACCUAGUAGUGGGGGAUAGCUCGGGGAAACUCGAAUUAAUACCGCAUACGUCCUACGGGAGAAAGAGGGCAACUUGUUGCUCUCGCUAUUAGAUGAGCCUAAGUCGGAUUAGCUAGUUGGUGGGGUAAAGGCCUACCAAGGCGACGAUCUGUAGCUGGUCUGAGAGGAUGAUCAGCCACACCGGGACUGAGACACGGCCCGGACUCCUACGGGAGGCAGCAGUGGGGAAUAUUGGACAAUGGGGGCAACCCUGAUCCAGCCAUGCCGCGUGUGUGAAGAAGGCCUUUUGGUUGUAAAGCACUUUAAGCAGUGAAGAAGACCUAACGGUUAAUACCCGUUAGCGAUGACAUUAGCUGCAGAAUAAGCACCGGCUAACUCUGUGCCAGCAGCCGCGGUAAUACAGAGGGUGCAAGCGUUAAUCGGAAUUACUGGGCGUAAAGCGAGCGUAGGUGGCUUGAUAAGUCAGAUGUGAAAUCCCCGGGCUUAACCUGGGAACUGCAUCUGAUACUGUUAGGCUAGAAUAGGUGAGAGGAAGGUAGAAUUCCAGGUGUAGCGGUGAAAUGCGUAGAGAUCUGGAGGAAUACCGAUGGCGAAGGCAGCCUUCUGGCAUCAUAUUGACACUGAGGUUCGAAAGCGUGGGUAGCAAACAGGAUUAGAUACCCUGGUAGUCCACGCCGUAAACGAUGUCUACUAGUCGUUGGGUCCCUUGAGGACUUAGUGACGCAGCUAACGCAAUAAGUAGACCGCCUGGGGAGUACGGCCCGCAAGGUUAAAACUCAAAUGAAUUGACGGGGGCCCGCACAAGCGGUGGAGCAUGUGGUUUAAUUCGAUGCAACGCGAAGAACCUUACCUGGUCUUGACAUAUCUAGAAUCCUGCAGAGAUGCGGGAGUGCCUUCGGGAAUUAGAAUACAGGUGCUGCAUU